UGUGAGCGGUAAACACAGCCUUUGAGAGCAGGAGCACAUGUCCCUUUCAUGACAUCAGGUAGGGUUGUAUGACUCCCAACUAGCUCUAGCAUCUGAGUGUCCCCUCCCCCACUGUAGUGAGGAAUGUUGGUGAUCUCUUAACGAGGCACUCUGUGCUCUGUUGGCCAUUCUCACUGUAAAAAAACAAACAUGGAUUCUUGGGCUGUUCCCUCAGCUACACUUGGCUUGUUUCAAAACUCAUGUCUGGGGAACAUACGUUCAGCAAGAAAUACUUUGUACUAAUAAAUUUUAUAAUGGAUGAAACCUGGACCUGGGUUUUGGGAGUGUUACACGGAUUGUGAAGCACAGAGUGGUAAAUUCUCAGAGGUUGUAAACCUGUGACAGGAGGAUUUGUCUGCUUUGUUGGGAAGCUUUGGUCUCUGGACAAUUAACGUGGACCGCUUCUCACGGUGGUUUACCGUAUACUUCAGUAUAUUUCUCUGAUUCUCUGCCCUUGUAAGGAUUUGUGACUUGGGACCCCUUAAGGAUUAUGUGCUGUCAGAGCGUAGACCACCAUAGGUAUUUCCAGCGCUUAGCAGGGCAGUUAACAUGGCUGAGGUCUCCUUUCUCUGCCCAGGGCUUCCUCCAUCCGGCAGCUGGCAGGACCUGAAGGAUCACAUGCGCGAAGCUGGGGAUGUCUGUUACGCAGACGUACAGAAGGACGGAAUGGGGAUGGUUGAAUAUUUGAGGAAAGAAGACAUGGAAUAUGCUCUGCGGAAACUGGAUGACACCAAAUUCCGCUCUCACGAG
This 789-nucleotide long non-coding RNA is filed under the name Rattus norvegicus (Norway rat). RNAcentral describes it as "long non-coding RNA NONRATT008055". The record is from RNAcentral. Lineage: Eukaryota; Metazoa; Chordata; Mammalia; Rodentia; Muridae.